Molecule: long non-coding RNA, 8955 nt
Filed under: Panax ginseng (ginseng)
Lineage: Eukaryota; Viridiplantae; Streptophyta; Magnoliopsida; Apiales; Araliaceae
Description: long non-coding RNA (PGIN_LNC000098)
Rfam family: MIR6135 microRNA precursor family (bases 7743-7856)
Source: RNAcentral
UUUGGGGCUAAUUAGAUAGUUUUUUGCUUAAAUUGUUCAUGAAAAAGCUUGAUAGACAAAUAUAACGUACACUUCUGUGCGAAUAAAGGUUAAAUUUUAUAUAUAUAAAAUUCUCUGUCGUAAAUGUUUUAGUUAUGAACCCAAAUAAAGUAUAAGCUGUUGCGAUAUCACAAUCAUAAACAUCACCUUUGUUAUGAUAUCCCACUUGCAUUUGAUAUCAGAGUGAACUCGUGCUAGUCUUAAUGCAACCAUCUCAAGUUAGGCUUGACUCUUGUCCAUGUGGUGCUGUCUCUCUGAAUUUCAUGGCAAUGCCUACAACUGCAAAACUUUACUUAAAAGCUUAGCUUUUUUUCCUCGAGUUCUCGCUUCUUUUAUAUAUAGUUAUCGUGCCCCCUAGCUCAAAACAAGGAAGUACAACUUGCAGAAUAGAAUAUAUAUAUAUAUAUAUAUAUAUACACACACACACACAAUCUCCCUCUUGUAGGAUUUGCAUGCAGUUUAUAUAUUUGUUGACAUGCAAGAUAUGAAGUUUACUCUCCUUUCUAGUAUUAUAGAAAUGUUUUUUGCAAGAAAGUGAUGUCAUCGAGUAGCAUUACAUACAAGCAAUUGCUAAAUGUAAUAAACUUAAAAGAAUAAACACCAAGCAAUUUGUAUUUUCUUCCAAAUGUAACUCAUGCAUAUGAACGGGGGUGCCCCAUUUGAGCGCACUGUUAAUGUUUUCCAUUUAAUCUUUUGGAUGCAAGUAAUUUCUCUAUGCUUUUUGUUUAUUGGGUGCAGGUUUUGAUUUUAAGCGAACGGCUUCAUGCUGUGACAUCACAGUUUGAUCAGUUGAGAGCUGUUCGCUUCCAAGAUGCUAUCAACCGAGCUAUGCCGAGAAGAAAACUAAAGAAGGCUGCCACAACAGAUUCUACUGAUAUUUCAAAGCUUAACAAGUUGGAGCUAAGGGAGCAUAUCAAUUCAGAGAUUGGGGAGACUAGUGAUGUUCAAGCAGAGCCUCUUAGAGUCCAGCAACAGCUAUUGGAUGACGAAACACGUGCACUUCAGGUAAUUAGAUAUUUAAUUCCUGAUGCAUUUCUUUAAGUCUCUCACAUUUGUGAAGUCUUCGCUCAUUAUUCACAGGUUAUUUCUUUAGCAAAGCUGUUUCUUUUGUGAUACAGGUAGAGUUGACGAGUCUUCUAGUUGCUGUACAAGAAACUGAAACUAAGAUGGUAGAAAUGUCUGCAUUGAAUCAUCUCAUGUCGACACACGUGCUGCAGCAGUCUCAACAGAUUGAACUUUUGUAUGAGCAGGUCUGAACAUUGGCAUAUGAUUAUUUAUCUGGUUGUUUAUUUAAUCAAGUUCAUCCUUAAUCAGCACGGUCAUCUUUUCAACAUUUUACAAAGAGAAAUAAUGCAGCCAGCUCUAGCUUUCUCACUACCUCUAAGAAUUGGUGAAACAAACCUACCUUUGAAAACCAAGAUCACUAGUUAAUUCACUAGAUAUGGCUUGCCAGUCAAAUGCAGCUGCUAAUUUGGUUGCUAUGUUUUUCUUUUCCUUAGUUAGGCAUGUCUCCAAUACUAAAUGACAUGGAAUUUGUCAUACCUAUGAGAAAAUUGAAAAGAACUCUUGAGCAUCUGUGUAUGACUGAAAAAUCAUGGUUUUUGAGUACUUCUAAUCGAGGAAAUUUGAAAUUUUCAAUGUCCACUACACGUUACCCGGGCAUUGAAUACAGGUAAUUUUUUGAUAGAAAAACCUUCAUGAGAUUCAACUGCCAAAACGACAUUGUUUGACAGGAAUCAAACAUUUAACUAUAGGAAUUUUACUUUUGCCCCUUCAAUUUAUAGUUUGCACGAAGUAAAAUUAUUUUACCGUUGCAAAUAAAAGCUUCUAGACUAAGUUACUGGAGUUGAUGCACUGGUUUUACGUGCACCUUGCCGCAGUUAAAUGUUCUUAGAGCAAUGCUACAUACACCUGAUUCCUUAAACUAUUGAUGUGAAGCAUCCCCCAUCCUCUCUAAAUUACCAAAAAAACUGAGACUUGGCUUUUAUAGUUAGUUUUAGGGAUACCUUGAAACAUCAGUAUGUUCAGGAUAUAGGUGCACUUGGCAUUUCUUGAUGUUCUUAAUGUUUUCUUUUAGUGUGUCCCAUCCCCAUGUUAUGUGGAAAUAUCAUUUCAACACUUUCUUUCACAAACAUUUUAUUGACAAUUCCUUGUUUGCUCAUCAACUCUAUUCUUGAUGCUUCAGUUUGUACUAAUUCUUCUUAAACCAUUUUGGUUAUACAGGCGGUUGAAGCAACCCAAAAUGUAGAGCUCGGUAACAAAGAACUGUCGCAAGCCAUCCAACGAAAUUCCAGUAGCAGAACGUUUCUUUUGCUGUUUCUAUUUGUACUUACAUUUUCAGUCCUUUUUCUUGAUUGGUAUAGUUAAAUUGGAGGGAUGAAUUAAAAUACAUUUAGGACUUCAACUAUUAUAAUAAUUAUUAUUAUUUUUUACAUAUUAUUUUGUUAAAUAAACUCGAGUAAAAAUGACUUUUGGCAGAAGAUGACAAAAACAAAAAAUGAAUAAAAGGAAAUUCAAGUCAAAAUGGGCCUAUGAGUCCAAAACAACUUCAAAUAAACCACUCGACUAUGACCCAAAAUAUGUACCUCAAUUGUGGGCAAUCCAGCCCGAAUAUCUUGAACACGAACAUUUGUAACCCGUAACCCUACAUAUAAAAGCAACUCUAUCUUUACAUUUUGCCAUUAGGGUUUUAGCUUCCUUAUUCGCAGGCGACUCUCUCUCUCAGUUGCAAAUCCUCCAGCAGCAAAAAUGGUGAAAGGACGUCAAGGCGAGCGAGUCAGGUUAGAGCUAUAGCUUUCUCUCUCCUCUCCAUUUCCAUUAAAAUCUACAAAAACAUCAUUUGAUUUUACGUUCGUGAUCGAUUGAUUUCAGGCUCUACGUAAGAGGAACAAUCCUCGGUUACAAGCGGUCUAAAUCGAACCAGUAUCCAAGCACCUCGUUGAUUCAAAUUGAAGGAGUGAACACCAAGGAGGUCACCUGGUACCAGGGUAAGCGACUAGGAUACAUCUACAAGGCCAAGGUGAAGACUGGUGGCUCACACUAUCGCUGCAUUUGGGGAAAAGUGAUUAGGCCUCAUGGUAACACUGGUGUUGUCCGUGCUAAGUUCAAGUCCAAUCUUCCUCCCAAAUCCAUGGUAUUAUUAUGCAAUCUUAUUAAAGUUUAUGUAUGUGGUUUCUUAUAUAUAAGUUUUUUGAAAUGGGGUUUUGAUUUGUGUAAUUGUUCGUUGUUUGCAGGGAGCUAGGGUCAGGUUUUUCAUGUACCCAUGUAAUAUAUGAAGGGUCAGGGUUUUCAUGUACCCAAGUAAUAUAUGAGGUAAUGUACUUGCCUUUUUGUGCUAUUGUAUUUUAGUAAUGGUUUAUUUGUUUGCUUUUGUUUUCCAUUUGAUUUGGUGCAAAUUGGAGAGUAUAAGCUCUGUAUUAGUUCAUUAACAUAUAUUUUGGGUAAUUUCUAGCUGCCAGGUUAGGACCUGAAAAAAACAUUUAAGUUAUUGUGACAUUUGUAGUUACCUUUGUUUUUUUAACUUUAGUUAACCUUAAUAAGCUUGUCUCUGAACUUGAUUACAUGCAUAUUGUAGUUUCUGUUUCUGUGUGUGUGAUCUUUUUUGAUGGCUGGCCUUGAAAAGUUGAUUAAUUUUAAAAUAUUACGGUCAUGAGACAUAUGAAUAAUUAACAAGUACCAAGAUUUAUGGUUGUUUCCUAUUAAAAGGCCACAAUAAUUUCCCCUUGACUUAUAGCAUUUCUAGCAGGCCGGUAAUGAACAAUUAUAUUUAGUCUAGGAUACAAAUUUCGCUCCAGCAAACAGACUAAAGAUAGUCCAUCGAAUUUUUUGGCAAGGCUAAACGACUAAAGAUGAAGAAAGAAGAAGAUGAGAAGGGUCUUAAUAAAAAAGUAACGAAUAGAAAUUAAAAAAUUUAUAAAUAUGCACAAUAAUUUAAUAUAUUUUACCUAUCUCUCAAUCAACUACUUCAACCUUUAACAAUUAUAAGUAUUUUGUUAAUAAUAAUUUAUAUUUUUAUUAUAUUUGAUAUUUAUUUUUUAAUUGAUAAUAUUUCUUUAAUUUAUUUUUUAGGUGGAAAAUUAUGGUCCUCUUAUGUAUUAUAUUAUUUUUUAUUAUAUUUGAGUUUUUUUGAAUUUAUUGAUUAUUUUAAUUUUUUUAUAUUAUAGUCCACGGGAUAGUCCACAUGAUAGUCCAUUUGUUGGAAGGAUUGAAGACCAAUGGACAUCUGCUGAUGUCAUAUGGAUUAAAUAUAGAUAGUCCAUCUGUUGGAGAUGCUCUUAGUAGCAGAAGAUUUACAAAACUUUGCAUUUCUUAAAUUGUAAUAGGUUUGGACUUGAGUAAUCUCAGUAACAUGAAGACCAUACACAGGUUGGGUAAUUUUUUUAAGGGGAUUGAUAUUUUCGUAGGUUAUUUUGAUAGUUCUGCAAUGGCCCCACAUUCAAAUUGAAAAUCAUCUUUUGUGCCCAAUUUACCCCUAUUUGCAGCAACACACCAUUCCUCUCUCUCUCUCUCCCACCUUCUGCACUUCAUCUUCUCUUUCUAACCUCCACAACUAUCCCAAUCUAACCCAAUUUUCUCUAACCCAAUUUCACCUACUCAAGUAGAAAGUAAGUAAUCUUUCGUUCGAUGAGAGAGACCCACAAAUAUGAACUACAUAGAAAUUAUCUAAUCCAAUCCAUCAUCUCCUCCCUCUGUCAAAACUCCCCCGUACCUGCAUCUAAUUCAAAUCCAUAGUUGUCAUGGCGUCACCAAGGCAUCGCCUAGCGUUGGAGAACGGCAAGGUGCCUUGGAUGUCGAGCCGCCAAAGCUCACACCUUGGUAGCUGGUCCAAGUUAAGUGAUUAAGUCAUUUUUUACCUAUCACUCAUCAUAACCCAUCAUGAAUUUGUUAUGUUGUGUAAUUUUAUUACUUAUUAUACUUGUAAUGGGUGAUGGGUAAGUCAUCAUUCUUUAUUUUUAAUGUGGUGUUUAUUAACCUGUUCUACUAGUUUUUAGUUUCAAGUGUUUUAUUUUUGAAUUUUGAUUGUGAAGUAUUUAUAUAAUUGUGUUUAUAAUUGUAUUUCAUAGUGUUAGUUAUUAUGAUUUGGGUAUUAAUGUAUAUAAAAUUUUAUUGUUCAAUAUACUUUUAAAGUAAAAUAAUAAUGUAUAAAUUGCAUAUUGUUAACAACUUGUGACCAUACGGACGUCAUUGCUGGUGCCUUAUUGUUUAGGCGUCUUGACGGUCAACUACCAUUGCAUCUCGCCAUGCNNNNNNNNNNNNNNNNNNNNNNNNNNNNNNNNNNNNNNNNNNNNNNNNNNNNNNNNNNNNNNNNNNNNNNNNNNNNNNNNNNNNNNNNNNNNNNNNNNNNAGAUGCUCUUAGUAACAGAAGAUUUAUAAAAGUUUGUAUUUCUUAAUUGUGUAAAAUGUUUGGACUUCAGUAAUCUCAGUAACAUGAAGACUAUACACGUGCUGGGUAAUUUUUUUGAGGGGAUUGAUAUUUUCGCAGGUUAUUUUGAUAGUUCUGUAAUGGCCCCACAUUCAAACUGAAAAUCAUCUUUUGUGCCCAAUUUACCCCUAUUUGCAACAACACACCAUUCCACUCUCUCUCUCUCUCCCACCUUCUGCACUUCAUCUUCUCUUUCUAACCUCCACAACUAUCCCAAUCUAACCCAAUUUUCUCUAACCCAAUUUCACCUACUCAAGUAGAAAGUAAGUAAUCUUUCGUUCGAUGAGAGAAAGACCCACAAAUAUGAACUACAUAGAAAUUAUCUAAUCCAAUCCAUAGUCUCCUCCCUCUGUCAAAACUCCCCCGUACCUGCAUCUAAUUCAAAUCCAUAGUUGUCAUAGUGGUUUUAUGAUGUCUUUAUCAUGUUAGAUCUAUUGAAUGACGAGGGACGUGGUGCAAAGAUCAGUAGACGGCGGAGCUCAAUUAGGUGUUGUAACAAGUAGGGCAAAAUGGACACAAAUAAAUUGCUUUUAAUUAGGAUGUAGGGUCCAUUGCGGAAAUAUCAAUUCCCUUUUUUUAAUUAAUUGAAAACCAAAUAAUCCGUUGAAAGUCAUGUAUCUGUGUGUGCUAAAUGGUAUUGUCACUUCAAACUUCUUUAGAAUUAUCUCUUAUUUACUUUUAUAACAGAUUUACCACUUACUUAUUUGUGAAUCCUAGAUCUCCAAUAUGGUAUUUUUACUGCAAGUGCAAGCUUCCUUAGAAAUGUAGCAUUUAGAGUAAAUGCUUGUCCCCUAGUUGUCAAUGAAAGAGUUAACUUCUAUCCAAGCAUUGUUUUAUUGGUACAGGGACACAUUUCCUUUGGGCCUUGUUUUUGUGAAAGAGUCCAACUUAACUAAUAAAACUUAAAAUAAAUGAAUUGUUACCUCGAUCAAGGAUUAUUCAUUAACCUCUUUAUACAUUGCGUAAUGCCUGCUUUUGUAGACAUGUUUAUAUGAUUGUUUUAUGUUGUAAUUUUGUUUGUGUUUUCUUAUUUCAGUUUCUCCUCAAGGGAAGAAGAAAGGAUUGUCAUAUUUCUAGCUUCAAAAGGUUUUGAAUAUCAUUGUCGAAGUCAACACCGAUUGGAGUGACUUGCAUUUUCGUUUUUAUUUCUUUUGGAGAGCUGAAUGCUAUGUAAUUUCUCAAGUUAAAGUAGCAUUUUUCUUUGCACAAUUUUUUGCCUGUUUAGUACACAAUUCUAGAACAUAUGACAUGAUUUGACGAAAUUAUAAUUAUUUGGGUUCUCGGUUAUUCCUUGCUUUGAACUAAUAGAGAGAUUGAGGAUGGGGAGCGAAAGAGUAGUAGGAAAGUGAUAAUUUUAGGUGGCAAAGGCUCUUUUCUUGCGCAUUGAUUCUUCUUCCAAAAUUUCAGGGCUUCUCUUUAUGUACCUGCUGCUAAUUUCCAUGUUAGUGGUGUUUCAAACUUACACGAAGCUUUUUGGGUUCCUUCCCAUCUGCAUCUUCUUGCUGCUUUGUUUAUUUGACUCUUUUUGUACUUGGUUUCAAGUUUUUAGUAAUGAAAUUUUAUUACUUGUUAGUAGUAGUAGUGAAAUGUGGUAAUCUUAUAACUUCAUUUAACUAACCCGUUAAUAUAUUUCCACAUCUAAACGCCUAAUGUCCAUCCUAUAUUAGUGUAAUUUUGCUGAUAUUCAGAUUCAGUAUGAUUUAUUUAUGGAUGUGGUGGACUAGGCAUAUUUUAUAGUAAAAUGGAGUCUACCACCAUUGCUGAUACCAGAGUUCUACCCGGCUUGGUUGAAAAUGUUUGAAAGAUGGUUUGAUUAGUCUACUUUUGGGGAUUAAAGAAAACAAGUUCAGACUUCAGAGUGAUAAUUGUUUCUGGCUUUAUAAUAAUAAUGCUCUUAACUAAUGUAUUGAUUGCUCAAACUAGUUUCGAUUUGGAAAACACUAUCAAUUAUACAGUUUUUGCUGCAACAUCUGGAGGAAAAAUUGUUCAGUUUUCUCACAUUUCUCCUUGGAUUUCUAUUUGAUAAGGUUUGAAUGGUUAUGAUAGUUGUUGAAUAAUUUGUUUAACAGUUACCAUCUCCAAUAUUUCUGAUUCAGAUGGCUCAUAAGAAUUGGAGGGCUGUCCUUUAUUAGGACAUUCUACUUUGUUUUCCAAAUAUUUUUCUCUAAUAACAUUUCCUCUUUUACCUCAGAAAAAUUUUCAGGAUUACAUCUAUUUUGCAUUGACCAAAACUGCAACUGCUGUGAUCACAGAAAACCCUUAAAAGGGUAGGGUAGGGAGCAUGAAGUUCAUUUUUGGGUAAGUUGGUCAAUAGAAUGCUGACACACAUAGAGUCUUGUAUGCGUGUCAGCAUUCUAUUGGUCAAUUGACCAACUUACUCAAAAAUGAACUUCAUGCUAACCAUUUUCGUAGGGAAGGUAAGCCUCCAUUAAUGAUGCAAAAGAAACAGGUAGUUUAUUGUCUGUCCUGGAUUCGAAAUUACCAAAUUAUGAUGCAAAGGAAAACAUGAAUAUGUUGAGUGAAGUCUGAGAGCAAAGGAGCUUCCACAACAAAAGUGUCGCUAUAGAUCUUAUAGCGACGAUUUUCACUGUCGUUAUACAUCUUCAGCGACAUUUUUGUUGUAAAAAUAAUAAAAAAUAUUAUGGAUUUAACGAUUCAUCUUUUUUUUUUCUUGGCAAAUUUAUAAUCAAGUUAUAUGAACAUUCACAAGCAAAUUAUGAGAAUCAUAUUUCAAGUUUUUUCACUAUCAAAUUAUGAGUGACCAAGCAAAGGUCUUAGUAUGUUCACUUAUACUUCAAUAGAUUCUACCCAAAUGUAUAAGCUACUUAUAAAAAUAUUCAAACAUUCAAUUCAACAUGUAACAGAUAGAAAAAGCUAAAAGAAAAUCAUAACAUUGCAAAAUCUUUUUAAGCCUCAAAAUAACAAAUAUGGAUGUGGGGGGUCAAAUGUAGUUUGAACACUAUAUAUUUACCAUGUUGUAACAUGAAUAUGUGCAAAACAAACAAAAAUAGCAUGAAAACAGAUCUCCAUUAUCGACAUAUACAGGAAAAUGCACAUAUACGGAAACAAUAUAUACAUGUAAAUAUAAAGAUAAUAGAGCUGAGAAAAAGUUGGAGCAAAUUAAUACCAACCUAAAGGUCAAGUCUUUCUGAUGCUACGCUGCAGGGUACAGUUUACUCUGGUCAGAAAUCCUAGUAUGAAAAAAAUCAGAUAGAGAUCAAAACUAGUAUUAUGAACAAAACCCAGCAUUAAAAAGCUGAUUGAAAAUAUCCCCAAUUCAAAAAUCAAAAGAAAAGAGAGAGAGAGUUAAAAUUAUAUCUCAAAAUUUCAAUAUUUUUAAGAAUCCCAGUAGAAUAAUCGAACUGAAAGAAAUGAUAACACCCACCAGAGUCGAAGAAUCGGUGUUUGAUGGUUGGAUCUUUGGCCGGAUCUCAAACGUAGAUCAGGCUGCUUUUUGUAUUUAAAAAUGUAAAUCAGGUUUUCACAUCUGCCAC